This is an unclassified non-coding RNA of Nomascus leucogenys (northern white-cheeked gibbon), 273 nucleotides long. It matches the Rfam family "Metazoan signal recognition particle RNA". From Rfam's summary of the family: The signal recognition particle (SRP) is a universally conserved ribonucleoprotein. It is involved in the co-translational targeting of proteins to membranes. The eukaryotic SRP consists of a 300-nucleotide 7S RNA and six proteins: SRPs 72, 68, 54, 19, 14, and 9. NCBI's taxonomy places the organism in Eukaryota, Metazoa, Chordata, Mammalia, Primates, Hylobatidae. The record is from Ensembl.
AUGGGGGACUGUUAGCAGCAUAGGAUUGAAGGGUUGGAAGAGACCUUUAGAACAGCUGGUAGUUAUGCCAACCGGGUGUCUGCACUAAGUUCGGCAUCAAUAUGGUGACCUCCUGGGAGCAGGGGGCCACCAGGUUGCCUAAGGAUGAAUGAACUGGCCCAGAUCAGAAAGGGAGCAGGUCAGGACUCCCGCACCGACUGGUAGUGGGACUGUGCCUGGGCAAUAUAGCAAAAUCUUGGUUCUUAAAAGGAAAAAUAACAGCAGCUCAUUCCC